This 81-nucleotide ribosomal RNA is filed under the name Serratia marcescens. RNAcentral describes it as "partial 16S ribosomal RNA". It matches the Rfam family "Bacterial small subunit ribosomal RNA", at positions 1 to 81 of the family's 1533-position model. Lineage: Bacteria; Pseudomonadati; Pseudomonadota; Gammaproteobacteria; Enterobacterales; Yersiniaceae. The record is from RNAcentral.
UAAUUGAAGAGUUUGAUCAUGGCUCAGAUUGAACGCUGGCGGCAGGCUUAACACAUGCAAGUCGAGCGGUAGCACAGGGGA